AUUGAACGCUGGCGGCAUGCUUUACACAUGCAAGUCGAACGGUAACAGGGUGCUUGCACCGCUGACGAGUGGCGAACGGGUGAGUAAUGCGUCGGAACGUGCCGAGUAGUGGGGGAUAACGCAGCGAAAGUUGUGCUAAUACCGCAUACGUACUGAGGUAGAAAGUGGGGGACCUUCGGGCCUCACGCUAUUCGAGCGGCCGACGUCUGAUUAGCUAGUAGGUGAGGUAAAGGCUCACCUAGGCGACGAUCAGUAGCGGGUCUGAGAGGAUGAUCCGCCACACUGGGACUGAGACACGGCCCAGACUCCUACGGGAGGCAGCAGUGGGGAAGUUUGGACAAUGGGCGAAAGCCUGAUCCAGCCAUGCCGCGUGUCUGAAGAAGGCCUUCGGGUUGUAAAGGACUUUUGUCAGGGAGGAAAUCCCCAGUGCUAAUAACACUGGGGGAUGACAGUACCUGAAGAAUAAGCACCGGCUAACUACGUGCCAGCAGCCGCCGUAA
RNAcentral lists this ribosomal RNA (500 nucleotides) under uncultured bacterium. RNAcentral's name for it is "partial 16S ribosomal RNA". It matches the Rfam family "Bacterial small subunit ribosomal RNA", at positions 30 to 523 of the family's 1533-position model. The record is from RNAcentral.